RNAcentral lists this unclassified non-coding RNA (340 nucleotides) under Hevea brasiliensis (rubber tree). Lineage: Eukaryota; Viridiplantae; Streptophyta; Magnoliopsida; Malpighiales; Euphorbiaceae. The record is from RNAcentral.
AACCUUGGAUUCACAGAUGGAUCAGGAACGACAGUUGGGUUAGUUCUCAAACCCUUCACGGUACCAGGGGGCCCAGCUUUCUGCUGUUUACCCAAAACCAAAACCUGCUUCUGUGCAUGAUCUUGUCCUUGUUCAGCCAGCCGCAGCUGUUCACUUAGCUCCCUUACUUGCUUCUUCAACUCGGCAUUUUUCUCUGAUAGUGAGACAAUAUCUGAUUUAAGCAUUUUAAUUCGUUCCGCUGAUUCACAUGGAGGCGAGUCAAUCUGGAGAUUGGAUUUAGCAAUUCGAUGGCUCGAGGCAGUCGAAUCGGAGCUAAAGAAUCCAUGAGGAUACAAAAAAA